AUGACAAGCAGAGCAUGCAGUGUCCACGAGAUCCGGCGGGAGCGGCGUGCGGAGGGCCCGGCCAUGGUGCUCGCCAUCGGCAGGGCAAACCCGUUGAACUGUGUUUCCCAAGAAGACUACCCCGACUACUACUUCCGUGUCACCAAGAGCGAGCACCUCACCGACCUCAAAGACACCUUCAAAAAGCUGUGUGAAAUAACAGGCAUGGGAAAGCGGUUCUUCUACCACACGGAGAAACUGCUCAACGUCCACCCCGAACUUCUCCACCAUGCAUCCCCAUCCAUUGAUGUGCGGCUUGAGAUCGCCACCACGGCCGCUCCAGAGCUCGCGGCAUCAGCAGCAGUGAAGGCCAUCGCCGAGUGGGGUCGUCCGGCCACCGACAUCACCCACCUCGUCGUCAGCACAAACUCAGCGGCCCAUGCCCCGAGCGUCGACUUCCGCUUGGCUUCCCUCCUCGGCCUCCGCUCCAGUGUCUGCCGCACGAUGCUCCACCUUAACGGCUGCUCCGGCGGCUGCGCCGCCUUGCGCCUAGCCAAGGACCUGGCCGAGAACAACCGCGGCGCGCGCGUUCUUGUUGCCUGCGUCGAGCUCACCAUUACCUCCUUCCGUGGCCCCGACAAAGAGGACUGCUUCGACACCCUAAUCAGCCAGGGACUGUUCAGUGAUGGAGCAGGCGCCGUCAUCGUCGGCGCCGACACCGUGCGCUCCGUCGAGCACCCGCUGUUUGAGAUGGUGUCCGUGUCGCAGGCCGUGAUACCGGAGAGCGAGCACUUGCUCAACAUGCGGCUCGGGAACAGCGGCAUUUGCGGCAACAUUUCCACCGAGCUGCCACGCCUCACGGGGGACAACAUUGAACGGUGUUUGCUGGAUGCAUUGGAGCCACUUGGUAUCCACGUCAAAUGGAAUGACCUCUUCUGGGUAGUGCACCCCGGUAGCCGUGGUGUCUUGGACCACAUCGAGGUAGCUCUCCAGUUGGAGCCCAAGAAGCUCGCGGCAAGCCGAACGGUUAUGAGAGAGCACGGGAACAUGCUGGGAGCGACGGUGAUAUUCGUGCUGGACGAGCAGCGACGGCUAAUGGAGAAGGACGCAGCGGGGGCGCAUGGGUGGGGGGUGAUGGUGGGAUUUGGUCCCGGUUUCACUGCCGAGACGACGGUGCUGCGCGCAACUGGUGGUGACCAAAAUAAAAAUUACUAG
This 1194-nucleotide ribosomal RNA is filed under the name Triticum aestivum (bread wheat). RNAcentral describes it as "partial small subunit ribosomal RNA". Lineage: Eukaryota; Viridiplantae; Streptophyta; Magnoliopsida; Poales; Poaceae. The record is from RNAcentral.